GAAGGGAGCCCCCACGCUCGCCCCGACACAGGCUCCAGUAUGGCGACAAGAGGGCUCAGAGGACACCCGUUGGAACUCAGGAAAGAGGCUGAGGAAGGAGCUGCGCCAUGCCUGGAUGGAUGAGAACAGCAGAGGAGGAGGAAUUGGCAAGCAGCCCAGGAAGACCUGAAAAGAGGCAGAAGAACCUGGGAACAUCUAGUGAUGGGGAAAUCAAGGCAGGAGAGGCCUCAAAGGAAGAGGAGGUGGCGGCCCACGGCCCAAAGCGAUUCAAACGUAGAGCUAGUUGUGGACCAAGGAAAUGGCUUUCCGUGUCACUGCUGUGAGAGAGGUUAAAGUUGUUGAAAAUGUGUCCUGAAUUGGGUCUACCCAGGCAAAAUGAAGGUACCAGGAGCCUGUGAUGAAAAUCAGUCAUCUCAACUGGGAGUCGUUCCUUAUCAUUCAGCAGAGCCUGAUGUUAACAUUUCCUUCCCUGGAUUUGCUGGAAUCUGUGUGUUCCUUUCAAGUGAUGACAAACUAAUUGCACUGGCUUCCUGUCACCGUCACGAUCUUUCUGCAGUGACUGGAGGAGGUCAAUCUCUCUGACGAGCCAGAUUGCCA
Molecule: long non-coding RNA, 597 nt
Filed under: Equus caballus (horse)
Lineage: Eukaryota; Metazoa; Chordata; Mammalia; Perissodactyla; Equidae
Description: lncRNA (ENSECAG00000033127.2)
Source: RNAcentral